Molecule: ribosomal RNA, 434 nt
Filed under: uncultured bacterium
Lineage: Bacteria
Description: partial 16S ribosomal RNA
Rfam family: Bacterial small subunit ribosomal RNA
Source: RNAcentral
ACGGAAGGCGGCAGUGGGGAAUAUUGGGCAAUGGGCGAAAGCCUGACCCAGCAACGCCGCGUGAAGGAAGACGGUCUUCGGAUUGUAAACUUCUGUUCUUAGUGAAGAUAAUGACGGUAGCUAAGGAGCAAGCCACGGCUAACUACGUGCCAGCAGCCGCGGUAAUACGUAGGUGGCAAGCGUUGUCCGGAUUUACUGGGUGUAAAGGGAGCGCAGGCGGGAAAUCAAGUUGGAUGUGAAAUGUCGGGGCUUAACCCCGGAACUGCAUCCAAAACUGAUUUUCUUGAGUGAAGUAGAGGUAGGCGGAAUUCCGAGUGUAGCGGUGAAAUGCGUAGAUAUUCGGAGGAACACCAGUGGCGAAGGCGGCCUACUGGGCUUUAACUGACGCUGAGGCUCGAAAGUGUGGGGGGCAAACAGGAUUAGAUACCCUGGUA